UGAAGGGUGGAGGGGAGAAAAACAACCAAUGGGUCCUAGGCUUAACACUUGGGUGAUGAAAUAAUCUGUACAACAAACCCCCAUGACACAGGUUUUCCUAUGUAACA
Molecule: long non-coding RNA, 107 nt
Organism: Sapajus apella (tufted capuchin)
Lineage: Eukaryota; Metazoa; Chordata; Mammalia; Primates; Cebidae
Exons: 3
Source: RefSeq, a predicted model, not a curated record